GUGCGCGAAAUGACAAAAACAUUAAAUUCAAUUGAAUUUUAUAAAAACAACUCUAACUAUUAAAUUCAUGUAACAAUUGUAGUGAAUUUAGGCUAGUUAUCAUAUUCUUUAUUAUUGUCUUUUUCUAGUUGCUUUUUGGUAACCUUUUCCAUCGUCUUAAAAUCCUGGUGGAGGUUGGAACUAUCUUGAGAGAGAAAGGACACUAUCAUUUCACAUCUGCAUGCAUGUUACAGGUACCUUUGGUAACCCUUUCCAUCGUCUUAAUAUCCUGGUAGAGACUGGAACUACCUUGAUGGAUAAAGGAUGCUCUGAUUCCACAUCUGCCCGCAUGUUACAGGUACCUUUGGUAACCCUUUCCAUCGUCUUAAUAUCCUGGUAGAGACUGGAACUACCUUGAUGAAAAAAGGAUGCUCUGAUUCCACAUCUGCCCGCAUG
Agrilus planipennis (emerald ash borer) is the source of this 435-nucleotide long non-coding RNA. RefSeq lists it as uncharacterized. Lineage: Eukaryota; Metazoa; Arthropoda; Insecta; Coleoptera; Buprestidae. The transcript has 4 exons. The record is from RefSeq and is a predicted model, not a curated record.